GAAAAGGUAAGAAUAAUCAGAGUAAAGCGGAAAUAGAUGAGAAAAGAUUAAGAAAAGUUUAGAAAAGAAUCAGAGUAGCAAAGGUAAGUAGACAAUGGUUGUCCAGUUCUAUCUAGGUUUCGUCCUACAGUCAACAUUCCUCUGAUACCACUUCUGUCACACCCGGGUUUUAGGGCACCAAGACCCGGGCGCGAACAUAAUCACCAGGUGCGCUGGGACCAAGUCUCACACAUAUGAUGAAUCAUGGCACAGGAUCGAAUGUCACAUAUUUACUACAUAACAGGAGUUCUAUACAAAAUAAAUAAAUAAUUACAUUAUAAGGAGACAACGGUCCAGCAACCCAAAGUUGACUGGGAGACGACGACCUAGACCUCUCAUGAACUCGUCACAGCAUCCUCCAUGCGCCUCAUCUUGUGGUACCUGUUCUUGACCUGUGGGGGGGUGUGAGACAGCAAGAGUGAGCUCACAUACGUUCAUCGCUCAACAAGUUGUGGGGAAUAAUGUGCAUGAACUCGCCAAAGGUGGGAGCUCACGUGAAGUGUAAGGCUUACCAAAGAGGAUGGUUAGAGUUGAGCAUUGCUUUUAAAGUUGGUCAAAAUUUUAUUAGCAGUUACUAAGUAUAAGUAAAUACCAACCCAAUUAAGAAAAGUAAUAACAUCACCUGCGAUGCAAUGCAUAUGACAAAUUGAAUUUAGUUCCAUAAAUUAAUCAUGUGAGGGUCCGAGCUGCUCAUGACCGUGAGCACGGCUAGUAUACCAGUUUUACACUCUGCAGAGGUUGCACAUCUUUACCCACAAGUCAUGUUACCCAUCUGCCAAGGGAUCGCGACUUCCCAUACACCUCUACCGAGGAGGCGAGGCAGGGUAACACUACGAGGCCUUUACAAAGUUCCACUAGCUUUAGAAAACCCGCUACAGUUUAUAGGAAGCUCCAAUGCAGGGUUCUUGCCUGACCGCCAUCGCAGCAAAAUCAACCAAGGACCUCCCUACACUGACCACUCCCCUACUGCCCUUGCCCCUUUCGGGUAAGGUAGUCCUCCACUAGCUUUCCUAAUUAAUCAGCCAAGGGCGUCCAUAAACCCUUGUGGUAGCACUGUUUUCCCGGGUGGUCGCUCCAUGUUCCAAUUAACAUAAUGAUCUUAUCAUGGACAGUGAUAAUAAAUAGAUAAUAAAAGUGUGAUCAUGAAUAAUGUAUCUUCAUACCCAAAACAAUAUAAAGCACUAGCAAGUACUACCCAAAAAGUUCAGUGGUAAACAAGGUAUAAAGAUAGACAAACUAGGGUAACCUAUUGGGUCCCAUCAAAAUUAACCUAUGCAGAUCAUUAUGAUUAAUCAGAACAUGGCUGGGUAAAAAGAAGUGAUCAAGGGCACAACUUGCCUGGCACUUGAGAUUCCAGUUACCAGGGUGAUUCUUCAAAUCCUCGUGACCGCACUGCUAGUCGUAGCAAUACAAACAGAUAUGGUAUAGAAAAAAUUAACAUCACACCAAUCAUAAGUACAAACUGAAUAAUAAUGAUCUACGCGAUGAUACGAGAUCGUAGAUUCAAGAACCACUAGAUUCGGAGCUACGGUUAUAAAGUUAUGAUUUUCUAAAUGUUUAGGAGUCGGAUACAAAAGAAAUCAAGUGCAUAAUUUUAAUUUAUGUUUCAUAGCAAAAUAAAGUUACCGGUUAUAAACAAUAUUAUUAUGGAUUUAUUGCAACUGGAAUGCAUUAUGUUGGAGUUAAAAUAUAUUAAUUAUGCAUUUACUAAAAUUUUUUUCUAGAUUUAUUUUCACAUUUAAACCAUUUUCUAGGUUUAUCCUAAAAGAAUAUCACAUUCUUGGGCUGCGGGUAAAACUACAGAGAAGUUCAGGACUAAAUUAAUUAAAUCUAGGACCUAAAUGUAUUAAUCUUUACGCCCUACAUGGACAGCGGGUUAGUUUCGCUAUUUUUCAUGGACUCUUGGAAAACCGGCUUGCUGCUAAAAUCACGAGGAUAUUCCAAGCCGUCCGAUUCACAACCAGCGAUCCGGAUUAGAAGACCCACGUGCCGAACUGGUACACAACGCCUGCCUUUGGAUCAUAGAUCGAUGGUCCGAAAUCCAUCGUGAACUACUGUAUUACUAGCCAUCCGAUAUAAAUCCCACGGUGACUGCCCCGCCUUCGACCUCACCACCAACAGCACGCAAACAAAACUCGCACUCCUUCUCUAUCGUCUGCUAAACCCAGAGCGACGGCUGACCCAGCGGCAUCCUGCCCGGCUACGGUACCGCGCCAGCGCUCCAGGCCAUUAGCCUAUGCUCGAAAAGCAGAGGAAGAUAUCCCGCCAGAGGAGAUGCUCACCGCUGAUGAAGCGAACUGGUUGACGACGAUGCGUAGGCCCACGUCGAGGUGCAGGCACAACGGUCACAGCGAGCUCCGGCACCUGUGGCCACCACCGGUGGAGGGAAGAUCCACGCGCCAGAUGCCUGAUCUCGUGCUGGCGCAUGCGCAAGCAGUCUCCCUCGCAAAUUCCCUAGAAGGCGAGCGAUGCGUGGAACUCAGCUCCUACCCGG
This 2533-nucleotide long non-coding RNA is filed under the name Zea mays. RNAcentral describes it as "long non-coding RNA (ZMAY_LNC001656)". The record is from RNAcentral. Lineage: Eukaryota; Viridiplantae; Streptophyta; Magnoliopsida; Poales; Poaceae.